Molecule: ribosomal RNA, 301 nt
Filed under: uncultured bacterium
Lineage: Bacteria
Description: partial 16S ribosomal RNA
Rfam family: Bacterial small subunit ribosomal RNA
Source: RNAcentral
CAGCCGCCGCGGUAAUACAGAGGGUGCAAGCGUUAAUCGGAAUUACUGGGCGUAAAGCGCACGCAGGCGGUCUGUCAAGUCAGAUGUGAAAUCCCCGGGCUUAACCUGGGAACUGCAUUUGAAACUGGCAGGCUAGAGUCUUGUAGAGGGGGGUAGAAUUCCAGGUGUAGCGGUGAAAUGCGUAGAGAUCUGGAGGAAUACCGGUGGCGAAGGCGGCCCCCUGGACAAAGACUGACGCUCAGGUGCGAAAGCGUGGGGAGCAAACAGGAUUAGAUACCCGAGUAGUCCCUGUCUCUUAUAC